AACCAUUAACCAAUUGACCAUUGAUGUUAUCUAGAUUUGACGGUUGAGAAUAUAUGCGGGUCUUUAAACACCUUGGUUCUGCAGUGAAAUUGCACCUCUCUAUCUCCUCCAUUGAAGCGUGCUCUAACUUCUCCAUUAAAGCUGCUUCCGAGCUUUAUUUCCCUUAUUUACUUCCACUUUGAAGCUUUUCACCGUUGCACCUCUCUCUCUCCUCCAUUGUAGCUACUCUGAGUUCUCCAUUGAAGUGACCCCUGAGCUUUUUCUCUCUCAUUGAAGCUGCUUCUGAGACUCAAAUUUUGUUCUAUUGAUGUUGAAGUUGAUGUAAUCAAUCAAUACUAUUUGAGCUUAUAGCCAAAGGAGGAACUGUCAAGGGUCUCAUCAAGGAAAAGAAUUUGGUCCAGAUUACAAAUCCAGCUGAGAUAGAGCAAAUGAUUGAUAAAGUGCUUGCAGAAAACCCAAAGCAAGUUGAACAAUAUCGUGGAGGCAAAACAAAGCUGCAAGGUUUCUUUGCUGGCCAGCACUUUGGAAUUCAGAAUGGAACAAAUAGAGUUGGGUAAAAGGAGGCGUCCGAUGCAUGAACAGACCGAAGGUGAAUUCGACGUGGAACAAGAAAUUAUUGGACCAAGUGGAAAUGGGAUUGUUCACAACACAAUUGAUUUACUUCCUGGACUAUUUCCGCCCCCUAAUAUGAACUGUCGGGUUGAGUCAUUUGGAAGAAUAUGCCAGAAAUUUGAUGAAAGGAGGACAAGAUGGGUAUGUGAGAUGGGAUUUGGUGGACUACUACAUUUGGCUUCCCAUAUGCAUCUUCCCCGACAGUUAGCUUACUGGAUAAUGACGCGUAUUGAUCCAAUUAAUAGGUGGUUAAUUGGUACAAAUGAUCAGUUGUUUCAGUUUUCUAAGAACCAAGUGCAUUGGAUUUUAGGAAUCCCCCUUGGGGGAAAAAAAGUUCCUACAAACAAGCAAUUGUUCGGGGAAGUUCGUUUGAAGGUGCAAACAAUAUUAUUAAAAUAUGGAAGAUCAUGGGACACCAAACCAACAAUGUGGUCGGACAUACACUUCAGUUGGCAUUCCUCUUACACUACAGAUGAUGGAUAGAUUGGAGGGACAUUUUGAGGCGCAUGAGGAAGAAGAAUUCAAAACGUUAUUCCUAAUCAUUGCCCUUCAAAUGAUAUUAUGCCCUAGACUGGCAUCUGACUUGUUACCGGCGUUGAGUUGUUCUAUGGAUUGCACAAACUAUGAUUGGUGUGAACUGGUUUUGUCAAAAUUCAUAGAGAGUGUGUCAAGUUUUGCACUGACGUUUUUAUGCAAAUGGGUUUGCCGGUGGAUGCGGUGGAUGUGCAAUAUUUGUUGUAAUAUUCUAUCUGGAUCGCCUUGAUUUGGGUCCUAAUGAAUGGGAUAUAUAUCCUCGAGUUAAGGCAUGGAGCAUGGCGCGCAUUGGAUAUGCAGGAAAGCUAGACCGAACUAUAUCUGGUGACUAUGGAAAAAUCGGGUUGAUAGAUGUUGCAUAUGGCGAAAGACACUCUAAGGUAGCUAGGGACACAUUUGGACCCCUGGAAUCUCCAAUGUAUAACGAUGUUUCUGAGCUUCUUGUCGGUAGAACUAGAGGUAGGCGUAGACGUCCGGACUUAUUUGCUUUACGAUGGGGUACGAAGCAAGUAUAUGAAGAUACUACCACCCCCCUAUACAAUGAAAAAUCCACCAGCACUGAUGGUGUGUUGAAAAUUCAGCAACCAGUUGAUUUAUAAUGAAACACUUUGGUUAACAUGUAGUACUAUUUAUGCACUUUUUAUCAUACAACUUAAUAUUGUACUUUCAUUUCAAUACAAUCAUUAAGACCUGGUAUUGUGAACUAUGAAAUCGUUGUGUGAGUUUUACAUAAACUGUGUUUGAAUGUCAUGGUUUUAAAGUGACCUUGCCAUUGGUUAUAGAUCAAAGGGGAGUGAGAUAGAGAUCAAUAUAUCUUAUGAUUAGCAAGAGUUUUGAGAGCAUGCACCAUGUACGUAAUGGUAAAUCUAAUUUAUAGCUAAAUAUUAUUUAUAUACCAGUUGAUCUGAAGAUUUAAAAAAAGUAAUGGAUUUUGUGACCAACUUUCCAUGUUGCAUAGAUGUCAAUCAUGUCAUCAGGACACUCAUAAAAGAACUUGCUUUGUACGCAUUUUUACUCUAGUUUUAUUUUAUUUUAUUUUAUUUAUUUAUUUUUAUUAUUUUAUUUAUUUUUUUGGGAUUAAAUGUGAUUAUUUUUAAAAACAACUUUAUAUACUCGUAAUUUCAUAAGAAGCUUCUUAAUAUUUAUAUUUCAUGUUAUUUUUCUGUACCACAAAUUUAUAGUUGUUAUUAAAAGAAUUAUUGAUUCGUAAUGUAGUGAAAAAAGGCAAAGGAAAAUCAGUAUUUAGUUGUCUCUUUAUUUGUAUUAUAGGACAUUUUUGUUAUUCCAGGAUGAAUUAAUGUAAUUAUUAAACCACACUCAAACACGUCUUCCGGAAACUGGACAUCAAGUUAGGUUUGAUAUACAUAGAGUCAUACAGAUAUGGAAAACAAAAUGGCUAUUCCGUAUAUGUCUUGUUUUUAUUUUAUUGUUUAUUACUUCCUCCGUUCUUUUUUACUUGAUUCGCUUUGACUU
This is a long non-coding RNA of Chenopodium quinoa (quinoa), 2619 nucleotides long. RefSeq lists it as uncharacterized. The transcript has 10 exons. The record is from RefSeq and is a predicted model, not a curated record. NCBI's taxonomy places the organism in Eukaryota, Viridiplantae, Streptophyta, Magnoliopsida, Caryophyllales, Amaranthaceae.